RNAcentral lists this transfer RNA (73 nucleotides) under Ailuropoda melanoleuca (giant panda). It matches the Rfam family "tRNA". From Rfam's summary of the family: Transfer RNA (tRNA) molecules are approximately 80 nucleotides in length. Lineage: Eukaryota; Metazoa; Chordata; Mammalia; Carnivora; Ursidae. The record is from Rfam by way of RNAcentral.
ACCUGGCUGGCUCACUUGGUAGAGCACAUGACUCUUGAUCUUGGGGUUGAGAGUUUGAGCCCCAUGUUAGGCA